This 448-nucleotide ribosomal RNA is filed under the name uncultured bacterium. RNAcentral describes it as "bacterial SSU rRNA". It matches the Rfam family "Bacterial small subunit ribosomal RNA", at positions 470 to 916 of the family's 1533-position model. The record is from RNAcentral.
UGACGGUACUUGAUGAAUAAGCCACGGCUAAUUCCGUGCCAGCAGCCGCGGUAAUACGGGAGUGGCAAGCGUUAUCCGGAAUUAUUGGGCGUAAAGCGUCCGCAGGCGGCCCUUCAAGUCUGCUGUUAAAAAGUGGAGCUUAACUCCAUCAUGGCAGUGGAAACUGUUGGGCUUGAGUGUGGUAGGGGCAGAGGGAAUUCCCGGUGUAGCGGUGAAAUGCGUAGAUAUCGGGAAGAACACCAGUGGCGAAGGCGCUCUGCUGGGCCAUCACUGACGCUCAUGGACGAAAGCCAGGGGAGCGAAAGGGAUUAUAUACCCCUGUAGUCCUGGCCGUAAACGAUGAACACUAGGUGUCGGGGGAAUCGACCCCUUCGGUGUCGUAGCCAACGCGUUAAGUGUUCCGCCUGGGGAGUACGCACGCAAGUGUGAAACUCAAAUGAAUUGACGG